GUGCCAAAAGCUUCAUAAGUCAGUGAUGGCUCUUGUAGCCUGAACUGUUGAAGCCUUUUGGAAGAGCAAAGACCACGACUCCACUAUGGACUGCACAGUUGUAGUUCAUAACUAACAAUGUGGCUGACAAA
RNAcentral lists this small nucleolar RNA (131 nucleotides) under Manacus vitellinus (golden-collared manakin). Its description in RNAcentral is "Small nucleolar RNA SNORA4 (ENSMVIG00005001150.1)". The record is from RNAcentral. Lineage: Eukaryota; Metazoa; Chordata; Aves; Passeriformes; Pipridae.